UUCCGGUUGAUCCCGCCAGAGAUUACUGCUAUCGAGGUUCGACUAAGCCAUGCGAGUCGAAUGUAGCAAUACAUGGCGUACUGCUCAGUAACACGUGGAUAACCUACCCUUGAGACGGGGAUAAACCCGGGAAACUGGGUAUAAUACCCGAUAGAUCUCGGACGCUGGAAUGCAUCGUGAUCGAAAGCUCCGGCGCUCAAGGAUGGAUCUGCGGCCUAUCAGGUAGUAGUGGGUGUAGCGUACCUACUAGCCUACGACGGGUACGGGUUGUGAGAGCAAGAGCCCGGAGAUGGAUUCUGAGACACGAAUCCAGGCCCUACGGGGUGCAGCAGGCGCGAAAACUUUACAAUGCUGGAAACAGCGAUAAGGGGACCUCGAGUGCCAGGUUACAAAUCUGGCUGUCGUGAUGCCUAAAACGCAUUGCAUAGCAAGGGCCGGGCAAGACCGGUGCCAGCCGCCGCGGUAACACCGGCGGCUCGAGUGGUAACCGUUAUUAUUGGGUCUAAAGGGUCUGUAGCCGGCCGGAUAAGUCUCUUGGGAAAUCUGGCAGCUUAACUGUCAGGCUUUCAGGAGAUACUGUCUGGCUCGAGGCCGGGAGAGGUGAGAGGUACUUCAGGGGUAGGGGUGAAAUCUUGUAAUCCUUGAAGGACCACCAGUGGCGAAGGCGUCUCACCAGAACGGACCUGACGGCAAGGGACGAAAGCUGGGGGCACGAACCGGAUUAGAUACCCGGGUAGUCCUAGCCGUAAACGAUACUCGCUAGGUGUCGGCCACGGUGCGACCGUUGUCGGUGCCGUAGGGAAGCCGUGAAGCGAGCCACCUGGGAAGUACGGCCGCAAGGCUGAAACUUAAAGGAAUUGGCGGGA
RNAcentral lists this ribosomal RNA (866 nucleotides) under uncultured Methanosaeta sp. RNAcentral describes it as "bacterial SSU rRNA". It matches the Rfam family "Archaeal small subunit ribosomal RNA", at positions 1 to 873 of the family's 1478-position model. The record is from RNAcentral. Lineage: Archaea; Methanobacteriati; Methanobacteriota; Methanomicrobia; Methanotrichales; Methanotrichaceae.